This 484-nucleotide ribosomal RNA is filed under the name uncultured bacterium. RNAcentral's name for it is "partial 16S ribosomal RNA". It matches the Rfam family "Bacterial small subunit ribosomal RNA", at positions 30 to 507 of the family's 1533-position model. The record is from RNAcentral.
AUUGAACGCUGGCGGCAUGCUUUACACAUGCAAGUCGAACGGCAGCGCGGGCUUCGUCCUGGCGGCUAGUGUCGAACGGGUGAGUAAUGCAUCGGAACUAGCCCACUAGUUGUGGAUAUCACCUCGAAAGCCGGAUUAAUACCGCAGACUACGUGAGGGUGAAAGCGGGUGACCGGAAGGCCGCGCUCGAUUGGGGCGGGCGAUGUCGGAUUAGCUAGUUUGUUGGGUAAAGGCUUACCAAGGCGACGAUCCGUAGCUGGUCUGAUAGGCCGACCAGCCACCCUGGGACUGAGACACGGCCAAGACGUCUAAGGGAGGCAGCAGUGGGGAAUUUUGGACACUGGGGGCAAUUAUGACCCAGCAAUGGCGCGUGUGGGAAGAAGGCUCUCGGGUUGUAAACCGCUUUUGUUCGGGAAGAAACACUUUGGGCUAAUACCCAGGGGGGAUGACGGUAACGGAAGAAUAAGCACCGGCUAACUACGUG